Molecule: unclassified non-coding RNA, 352 nt
Filed under: soil metagenome
Description: partial contains 5.8S ribosomal RNA, internal transcribed spacer 2, and large subunit ribosomal RNA
Rfam family: 5.8S ribosomal RNA (bases 1-120)
Source: RNAcentral
GAUGAAGAACGUAGCGAAAUGCGAUAAGUAAUGUGAAUUGCAGAAUUCAGUGAAUCAUCGAAUCUUUGAACGCACAUUGCGCCCGCUAGUAUUCUGGCGGGCAUGCCUGUCCGAGCGUCAUUUCAACCCUCAGGCCCCCAGUGCCUGGUGUUGGGGAUCGGCCCAGCCUUCCUGUAAGGCCGCCGGCCCCGAAAUCUAGUGGCGGUCUCGCUGUAGUCCUCCUCUGCGUAGUAGCACAACCUCGCAGUUGGAACGCGGCGGUGGCCAUGCCGUUAAACACCCCACUUCUGAAAGUUGACCUCGGAUCAGGUAGGAAUACCCGCUGAACUUAAGCAUAUCAAUAAGCGGAGGA